This 169-nucleotide unclassified non-coding RNA is filed under the name uncultured Ascomycota. RNAcentral describes it as "sequence contains ITS1". The record is from RNAcentral. Lineage: Eukaryota; Fungi; Ascomycota.
CCGAGUUGCAAGACUCCCCAACCAUCGUGAACUGCUACCUUGUCGUUGCUUCGGCGGGCGGCCCCCUGGGAGGGGGCCGAUGCCCCGCCCGGCGCCCGCCGGAGCAGCCAGCCUACAUACCAAACCAUGGCCUGUCCUGUCUCUCUGAUUGCCCUUACAGAACGAAUCA